AAGCAUUUUGAUAAACUUUUCUCCUGCUCUAAAGUUUGCCUUGGUCUUUUCUUCUACCUUAUGCCCCUCAGUUGAAUUCUUUCUUCUGAGGCGGCAGGAAUUGACUUUGCUGAUAUAUUUCGGUGCGCUGUGACUCGGAUAACUUUCACCGCUAACAUACAUUGGCACUGCUUGACUGGGAUCCAUGCCCUAAUGACAUUAGUGACCCUGCUCCUCCUGGCUGAUCUCUCAGCUCACCCUGAUGGAUGGCUCAUCAUAGUGGAAAGGACGUUGGGGUUCACAUGGAGUAGGACUGAAGCACUAAUGGCCCUCCUGGACAGGAAGCUCACGAGAAUGCUAGAGCUAAAGUCUAAAACCGUGCAAUGUCUGGGUUUCCUCUGCUUUUUCAUCUCAAAUUGGCUCUUUCCCAAGAAUUCACAAUGUCUAUUCUCCUGUUUUCUCUGUGUGUGUUCUGAAAUGGCCUUGCACACCUGCCAGACCAUCUGCCUUGGGGUUAUGAUUCAGCAAACAGGAUCAUGAGGGCCACUCAGAGAAAGGGAACCCAGAAACCUGGAAUGCCGGCAAAAGGGUAAAAAAUUUUCACCAUUCAGAUUUCUGGCCACCCUCUCUCUGUGCAAAUGAGUUGUAGGAGUGGUAAAAAGCACUGUCUCCUCUGCAAAGUUUUCGUUAGUGAGAAAAAGGAUUCAUGAGGCCACUCUUAAGCUGCAACAAACCUGGUUUGCUUUCUGCUAUGAAUUUUUCUUUCUGUUUCAUUCUUUCAAAAAGAGGGGUACCUUAGGGUAGAAUGUGAAUCUAGGAUGCCUGUAAGCCCACUGUUCAAGCCAGCCUGGCAAACUGGUCAGUUACAAAAUUUGCUGCAGUUCUGUGAUACCAAAACAAAACAACAAAAUAAAAAAGUGGAUGAAGAUUUUCUCUCGUCUUGUUUUACGUCCUUGAGAGCUUGAUUUUGUAACCAGGUGGCAGUACUUUUUCUUCAUCUUCAGUAUCCA
RNAcentral lists this long non-coding RNA (989 nucleotides) under Homo sapiens (human). RNAcentral describes it as "HSALNT0284349". The record is from RNAcentral. Lineage: Eukaryota; Metazoa; Chordata; Mammalia; Primates; Hominidae.